UACGUAGGGGGCAAGCGUUGUCCGGAAUUAUUGGGCGUAAAGAGCGUGUAGGCGGUCCGAUAAGUCCGCUCUGAAAGCCCGGGGCUCAACCCCGGGAGGCGGGCGGAUACUGUCGGGCUAGAGUCCGGAAGAGGCAAGUGGAAUUCCUGGUGUAGCGGUGAAAUGCGCAGAUAUCAGGAGGAACACCGAUGGCGAAGGCAGCUUGCUGGGACGGUACUGACGCUGAGACGCGAAAGCGUGGGGAGCAAACAGG
Molecule: ribosomal RNA, 253 nt
Filed under: uncultured bacterium
Lineage: Bacteria
Description: partial 16S ribosomal RNA
Rfam family: Bacterial small subunit ribosomal RNA
Source: RNAcentral